UUGGGAACAGGAGAAGCAAAACCUUGACUACAAUGUAAGGGGUGGAGGUUCAAGCUUCAGUUUUCACGAAAAUGCCAACCUGUUCAGAGAAGAGAUUCCGAGUGGAGAGCGUCUGAGCGCCCGUGAGUGCAGUGGGCUCUGAGGGACCCAAGGGUACUUUUAAAAUUCGGUAUCCGUGGCAUAAACAACUCCAGACAGUUGGAAUGCCAGCCACAAUCCAGCACUGAAGCUUCUCUUUGUUAGAAAUGAAACAUCUGCCCCUGCCCUGGAAGGGCUUCCUUACCUUCAGCGCUUGUGUGGGACGCGCCCUGGGACCUGCAGGCCCAGGCAUCAGACCAGGGGUAGGGAGGCCAAGGCCAAGGGUCUAGGUCCCGCCGCCCCUCCUAGCAGGCCGCUGGCCACCCCACGAGGGCACGUGCAUGCAGGAGGUGGCUCUGAGCAACGCCUCAGCUCAGCGCCAGAGCCCCACCGACAAGAGAAAACCCAGCACAUGCUCCCUCCUCUGCCAAGAAGCAGCGGGGCCAGGGCACCGGAAUUAGGCUCCCCCGGACGGGUCUACGCCUCCGAAUCCAGCCCUCCUAAGGAGAAUGCACGGUCCCAACCCCUGGUUAGCUGCUGCUCCCCGCACGCCUGCAGGGUAAGGCCUGGGACACACACAGGAAAGCAAGAGCUCAAGGGAGCGCCACUUGUUCUGGAGCAGGGAGCUAAGGAUCACGUGAGACUCGGGGAAUCCUUGACUGUCUGGUGCUGCUAUUUCAACACGGAGCCCAAUUUUUUUUUUUUUUUUUAAGAAAAGAGAGCACAUAAAACCCCACCAGAACAACCUCUCCUUGGCCACUAAGGACCUAUUUACAAUCACGUUCCAAUCGGUUCCUUGCUGGAGAACCUAUCUCUAGUGUUCAAGGUUGAACAGAGCUGAGGUCCUCGAUCAACUCAAUUGUGAAUUAAAUGGUAAUUUAAAAAGGAAAGAAAACGCUUCGAACUCCGUGUUCUCUAUUUUCUUCCAAACUCCAUGUUUUGGGGGUCAGUUUGUUUACCUAGCCCGUGUUUGAUUCUCAGGGAAGGGGAGAGGCAGGAGGCGAGUGAGCACACAGGGCAUUCGGGUUGGCCGCGGGGAAAGCAGGGUGGGGGAGCGCCACGCUGAGCCGCACAACCACCCCCACUCAGCCCUCACAGAAACAGCCCACAGAAAGGCACUUUCAUCAUGCUGAAUGACAGUUCCUGGGCCCGAGGAAAGCAUUUGUUUCAGAGCCUCUCCCGUAACAGAAUGACUAUUUCUAUGCGCCAGCCGCAGGGCCAGGAACCAGCUCAGCCAGACAGAACCUUGCUUUGUGAUGGGCUCUGGCGCGAUGUGAUCUCAGCUCACGCCACGCAGCCGUUGGCACCCACAAACGCAGCACACGUCCAUCCAGCAGCCAAGCAGACCCAGAGAGAGAUUCCGCUGCAGGUGGGAAGAGCCUUCUCACCUCCAGACAGGAAGGUGAAGAAGAGUGGGAUGCUAGAAAACUCUCCUCGACUCUUGCUAUAGACUUCGGAAGCCAGUUUUCCUACCCAGGUUUGGCUAGUUCUGAGACCAGAUCUUGGCCAGAGCAGAAGAGUUAGCUCCACUGUUGGGUAAGAAUUUGGGGAAGAUAUAAUCACGGAAGUUCCUGAGAAGGCUGUCAUGGCCUCCUACCAACUCCCCCAGGUAAAAUGAUGGCCUGUCAGUGGCAACAGUAGCUGACAAGUCAUCCCUGCCUUGGAAUCCUAAGGCUCUGGGGGGCCAACCAAACUACUCAAGGAGGCCACAUGCCCAGGGGCAGCCCUGCUGAACGCUCGUGGCAAACCAGAACGGCCGGCCCAGCUGCAUCUCCAGAAUGGAAGUGCAUCUCACGGCUGGACGGCAGGCAGGGCCACCCCAAGGCCACGGGACCAUGGUCUCUAUUCUCUCCCCUCUCCCCACUUCCAUUCCAAUCCCUCUUUUUGCAGUGCUUGGGUAAUAGUCCAUAUGGCCUGAUAGAAAAGUAACAACUCAUAAAUCGUUCCUAAGUGCUCAUGAUGAGCCCACCAGGAAAGUGGGGGCAGGAUGGUGCAGACACAUUCAGGAAGACAAGCAAGCUCGGGCUCGAGUCCCCUAACUGACCUGACCUCAAAUUCCUCUUUAGUACAACGGGAACAAUCAUGCUCACACCUCAUAAAACUGUGGAGACUUAAAAUACAAUAACACAUAUAAAGAGCACAGAGGGGGCCUGCGAGAUAGCAGUAGCCAAAUAAAUAUAUUUCUUCUUAAGAGUCACAUAUAAUAUAAUAAAAUAGACCUUAUAGUAUCCUGAGCUUAAAACUUCUCAGUGAGUCCACAUCCAUUUCCACCAAACUCUGAUCCAAACUCUCCUUUUAGGUCCCAGCCCCGAGGCACCUUGCAACAACUCUACGUUGCCCAAACACGCCAUAAAAUCUGUGCCCUUAUGCUUUUGCUGCUCCUUGUGCUUGUGCGGCCCUGCUAUACCGUACAGUCGUCAGGACCCGGCCUUUCCAAGAACCCUUAAUUCUCCAAUCCUCACCCCCACUCACCAAAAUCAGUCCCAAGUGACUUUCUUCUGGGGUCUCACAGCAUUUUGCACUUAGCCAUCUUAGAGCAUGUACUACCCAUGAGUAUGAUAACUACCGCUGCACCUGUUUCUUCCCCUGUACGUGGAGCUUCUUGGUCUUGUGUAUCUUGCUGAUUCUCAGUCCCUAGCAGUGCUUACAGCGCAUGGCAAAUGCUUAAUAUCCUUGCAUACAGGAAGGAAUAAAAGGAACAACCAAAUGAAUGAAGCUGAAAGAAAUGAGAUCUAGAAAACAAGAAACCACCUCUUCUAGGCCUGUACAGUCAGUCUACAUCUAGUUAAUUUGAAAGGCAAAUGCCCAGAGUGACUUCUGUAGACCGGGAAAUAGUUACCCACACGGCAACAAUAGCAAGCAGUAACCAUGGUUUUUAAUUCCUACGGCGUCCACAGAAACCUUCCUAUUUACCAUGCUGAUAGUCACAAAUCCUAUAAGCUCUUCUGGAAGAAACGGAGAAUUCUAUAUACCCUUUCAGGCAACACUUUGCAAAACACACACCAGACAAAGAUGGGAGUGUGGGAGAUACCAGAAUUCUACAAGCGAACGUUUGAAAUAUGUUUUUUUUAAACCCACUGAAGUUGGAGGGAAUGAAAAAAAACAAGAAAGAAUAAAGCCAUCCAGUUAAAAGGAGUCUUCCUGAAUAUCAAAAACGUUAAAGGUUCAGAGAGCCUUGAAAGGAAAGCUCACGGGUUCACUACAUUGUCAUGAAGCUUGGGGACUGUGGUGACCUUCAGAUGUUAUGGGAUUGAAUUCCUGGCCUCUAGAAAAAGAGGUCCCUACAGCACCACCUUCCUUUACUGAUUUAAAUAGGGCUUGUCAUGACAAAAGAAACCUAGUAACUGUUCCAAGAGCUCUUUCUUAUAUAUCUGUGCUUUACUUUGCUGAUGCAGAAAUAACACAGCCACUUCCCCUCACAGUAACUUCAGUGGAUAUUUAAAAAAAAAAAAAAAAAUGUUAAAUUAGGCCUUCAUCAUUCCCUAAUAAUUUCCUUUCAAGGGAAAAGAAGGUACUCUAUUGUUAGAAAAUGCUUAUGCUCGUGGUACAAUUAUAGUGCGUGAAAAAUAGAUGUUUAUCUUAUCACGUCGGAGCCUAACAUUACUGUAAAUGGCUUUCUUGGUGGCUCAUCAUAUGUUGGACCUCAGGUUAUCCAGUUAGGUCACAUCUUUGCAAGAACUUUCCAAGGAUUACCUAUUUCUGACAUUCCAUAGUACCAAAAAACCUGAACACUGGAAGAGACUCCACUCCUCUAGUAAUGAAGACUGAAAGAUUAUGAUUAUUUGUUAAUCACAGGAUUUUUAAAAAUAGAGUGCAUCUAUCUCUAAUUACAACAUCAACUUAGAGAUGUAUUUAAAUGGACCUCAUGCUUAGCACAGCACGUGGUAAAUACUAUUUGGUUCUGAUAAUGGAAGGGGAGAGAAAAAGAAGGAAAUUAUGGCUCAUGUGUGAUUAAUCUUACUUUAAUAAAAAUAAGGAAGAGUCUGAUAAUGGUGAAGGCUGACUAGGAGCAAAGUAGAACUAUACAUGCCAGAGAGAGAGAGAGAGAGAGAGAGAGAGAGACAGAGAAAGAGAGAGAGGGAACAUUUUUAGACAGGAAGAGAUACAAAAGAAUAGAAGCAGAGAGAAGACCAAUAUUACCACCAGACACAGGCUCACAGUAUUAAUUCAAGAAGAGCCCAAAUUCAGGCAUGCUUUUUUCUCUUCUGUUUUCUGUAAUAAUCUCACCAUGAAGACCUUCAAAAUUAAUUGAUAUCUGCAACAGGAGUGUGCAUAACCAUACACCUCAGCGAGGAACAUUACAUACUGACUCAACCUCCCACGCAGGUGUCCAGGGUCAGAACUAAUCUAACAGAUGCACUCGGGGCUGGCGUUCAUGCAUUUCAAAUAGGUUAGUCAGCUCGGCUCCCGAAAACAAGAACAUCUUGCAUCACAAGGUGCUUUUUUGCAUUCUGCUUCUGCUUUUUUGCUCUUUAAAUCCAGAGCUGCCUAUAAAAGACAGCAACAUCAGGAUAUUUGAAAGCACAGCCGCCAAAGCAUUCGGAGUUGAAGGUAAAGAUUUGAAGAUGAAAAGCACAGUAGCAGGAGACGCCCCUCAGCUCUGUCCAGAUGGCGAGCUCCCCGAGGGCAAGCUCCAGCCUGCCCCUGAUUUGAAAGGGCAAGGUAGAGAGCAGCCCGUAAAUUGCUUCAUCUCCCUGCUGUUACUUUGACACAGAUCCUGCAGGGUCAAGUAGGAGACUGCAGAUCAAUCAGGAGGACCACAAGGUGACGAAGAAUGUGAACAAGCCAAGGCACAGUCACCGAGACAGGUGCCUCACCACGCACGUGAAAUUCAUGGGAGACAUGGUCCAAGAGGCGUGCAGCUUCGCCCCAUACCAGCGGCCCGCCAUGGGGCUGCUCAAAGUCUCCAGGGACAAACACACCCUCAAGUUCACCAAGCAAAGGUUGGAGACUCACAUCCAUGGCAAGAGGAAGAGAGGAGCUGAUCAACAUCCUGCAGCCACAAGUAAAGCAGCCGUCAAGAAGGACUGAACCCCUCCCCUCUGUAGUUGAUUAGUUCAUUGGACGAAGAGUCAUUGCUAUGAGAACGGGAGCAGCACAGCAGGGGAAGGAGAACCACGGCCUCCCAGAAUUCAUAACACAGGCCUUAUAGUCCGCCGCCUCCUCUCCCACCUCCACGAGCCCGCACCAUGAACGGCUCGAAACUCUACUGGCUCCAACUGUUGGGACGCGGUGUCCUUACGUUGAUUUAAACUGCCUCCCUGAAGCAUUAGACCUGGCACCGUCCUCCAGAACACGACGGACCGAGGCCGAGAGACCUGCAGAGACCUGCCUACGUCAACAUCACGGCUUUGUUUCGUUCUGGGAGCCGUGUCCAUUGUCUAAAUCUCUUUUCCCCUCAUGUCAGAGAGAAGGGGAAAGACAGAUGCGCUUCCUUCCUAAAAGUUGUGUGGAUUUGUCCUGACUUGAAGGACACCAAAGGUGUCCCGGGUUAAGGCAGCACUAAAACACUGUAGUAGUUUGCUCGAGGAGAAAUUCAAUAAAGUCACCCAGUAUGAAGGGCUUUGGGAACAACCUCAAAGGAUGGUUCCCAAACAUUAACUAAAAAGCAGGCAGCCCUUGGGUUUAUGUUCAUACUCGUUCUUUAUCGACACAAAUGUGCCAACGCAAGUUUUGUUUUGUGUUGUUCAUUGAAAUAUAAUUCGCGUGCCACAAAAUUCACCCCUUUAACGAAAAGGCACAUUCUGCUGUCACUGGAACCUUUACAAGAUUGGACCAUCAUCACCAGAAUCUAAUUUUAAGAUUUUCAUCACACCAAAAGGAAACUCUGUACCCAUUAGCAGUCACUCCGCACUCUCCGGGUCUUUGUAGCUCUGUUUUAGACAUUUCAUAUAAACAGAAGCAUACAGUACGUAGCUUGUUGAGUAACAUUUUUCUUCCACUUAGUAUGUUUUCAAGAGUCAUCCAUAUGUGGCUUUCAUGACUGAGUAAUAUUCCACUGCAUAGAUUAACCACAUUCUUUGUAUCGAUUCAUCCAUAGGACAGACAUUCGGGUUGUUUCCACUUUUUUCACAAUUAUGAAUGCUGCUAUGAACAUUCAUAUACGAGUUUUAGGUGGAUAUGUGUUUCCAUUUCUCCUUUCAUUUCAUAUUCCACCUGGGAGAGGAAUUUCUGGGUCAGAGAGUAACUCUAUAGGGUCAAAAUUUUUGAAGAACUGACACUUUCUCAAGGCAGCUGCACCACAUUACAUUCCCACCAGCAAUGUAUGAGGGUUCCAGUUUCUCCGCACCCUUGUGACUUCUCUUCUUUAUGAUAACCGUCCUCGUAAGUAUGCAGUGGUAUUUCUUUGUGAUGUGGAUUUUUAUCUCAGGAGAAGUUGGCUUUGUUUGCUUGUUUGUUUGUUGGGAGAGAAAGUGUGGGGGCGGAGGGAGAGAGAGAAUUUUAAGCAGGUCCC
This is a long non-coding RNA of Canis lupus familiaris (dog), 6532 nucleotides long. RefSeq lists it as uncharacterized. The record is from RefSeq and is a predicted model, not a curated record. The transcript has 3 exons. Lineage: Eukaryota; Metazoa; Chordata; Mammalia; Carnivora; Canidae.